Molecule: ribosomal RNA, 492 nt
Filed under: uncultured bacterium
Lineage: Bacteria
Description: partial 16S ribosomal RNA
Rfam family: Bacterial small subunit ribosomal RNA
Source: RNAcentral
AGUGAACGCUGGCGGUAGGCCUAACACAUGCAAGUCGAACGGCAGCACAGUAAGAGCUUGCUCUUACGGGUGGCGAGUGGCGGACGGGUGAGGAAUACAUCGGAAUCUACUUUUUCGUGGGGGUUAACGUAGGGAAACUUACGCUAAUACCGCAUCCCACCUACGGGUGAAAGCAGGGGAUCUUUGGACCUUGCGCGAUUGAAUGCGCCGAUGUUGGAUUAGCUAGUUGGCGGGGUAAAGGCCCACCCAGGCGACGAUCCGUAGCUGGUCUGAGAGGAUGGUCAGCCACACUGGAACUGAGACACGGUCCAGACUCCUACGGGAGGCAGCAGUGGGGAAUAUUGGACAAUGGGCGCAAGCCUGAUCCAGCCAUACCGCGUGGGUGAAGAAGGCCUUCGGGGUGUAAAGCCCUUUUGUUGGGAAAGAAAAGCAGCAGGUUAAUACCCCGCUGUUCUGACGGUACCCAAAGAAUAAGCACCGGCUAACUUCGUG